UUUUUUUUUUACAUGUGGUGCUGAGGUUUGAACCCAGUGCCUCACACAUGCUAGGCAAGCGCUCUACCGCUGAACUACAACCCCAGACCAAGGUCUUUGAUUAAUUUUGAGUUGAUUUUUAUACAGUGAGGGAUGGGGAUCAUUUUAAUAUUCUACAGAUGUAAUUCUAAUUUUCCCAGCAUCAUUUUCUGCAGAGGCUGUCUUUUCUCCAACAUGUGUUUUGGUUCUUUUGUGGGGAAUUAGAUAGUUGUAGAGGAUUCUUAUUUCAUUGGUUCAUGUGUUUAUUAUGCCAAUACCAUGCUCUUUUUGUUUUGUUAUAACACAUCUAUAGCAUAUUUUGAAAUUGGGUAUUGUGAUGCCUCUGAUCUUAUACUUUUUGUUCUGGAUUGCUUUGGCAACUUGGGAAUUUUAUGUUUCAUAUGAAUUUUGGGAUCUUUUUCAAGUUCUCUAAAUAAUAUCAUUGGUAUUUUGAUGGGGAUUGUAUUGAAUCUGUAGGUUGCUUUUGCUCGUAUGACCAUUUUAACAAUCCACGAAUAUGGAAGGUCUUUACAUCUUCUAGUGUCUUUAGUUUCUUUCUUCAGUGUUUUAUAAUUUUCAUCAUAGAGGUCUUUCACCUACUUAAGUUUAUUUCUG
This 633-nucleotide long non-coding RNA is filed under the name Marmota monax (woodchuck). The record is from RNAcentral. Lineage: Eukaryota; Metazoa; Chordata; Mammalia; Rodentia; Sciuridae.